This 253-nucleotide ribosomal RNA is filed under the name uncultured bacterium. RNAcentral's name for it is "partial 16S ribosomal RNA". It matches the Rfam family "Bacterial small subunit ribosomal RNA", at positions 524 to 776 of the family's 1533-position model. The record is from RNAcentral.
GACGGAGGGUCCUAGCGUUGUUCGGAAUUACUGGGCGUAGAGCGCGUGUAGGCGGCCUUGCAAGUCGGAUGUGAAAGCCCUGGGCUCAACCCAGGAAGUGCACUCGAAACUGCAAGGCUUGAGUUCCGGAGAGGAAAGCGGAAUUCUCGGUGUAGAGGUGAAAUUCGUAGAUAUCGAGAGGAACACCGGUGGCGAAGGCGGCGAUCUGGGUGGAUACUGACGCUGAGGUGCGAAAGCGUGGGGAGCAAACAGG